GGAUGGCAUCACCAACUCAAUGGACAUGAAUUUGAGUAAACUCCAGGAGUGGUGAUGAACAGAUGUUCUGGUUAAAGAAGUCACACCCUUUCUAAGUGUCCAUGGGGUCGCAAAGAGUCAGACAUGACUGAGCAACUGAACCGGACUGUGGGGUUCUUGCUGAAGCUGUCGGAGCCUGGAAGGCACCCAUGUGCUGGAGUCUCUGGGGCAGGAAACUGAGGCCCAGAGAUGAGGCGGGCCUGGCCCAGGGCACUUCCAACUGUUCAGACCUGCGAGGAGUUCGGACCUCCCAUCCGUGGUUCUGUUUCAAAGCCUUCGGCUGUCACUGCAGGAUUAUCACAGGUGAAGACAGGCUGCUACCACCAGCCCAGGUUCCUGGUGCUCUGAUCUCGGGGCUGCCAGACCCCGCCACCUCAUGCCCCAGGCCCCACCCCUCGUGUCCAGGCUCCGCCCCCUCAUGCCCCUCUCUCCCCAACUGAAGAGUCUGAUCAGACUGAAAGGUCUCUGUCUCCCUCUCAUCCCUUCCCUUCUGGUUCCCCUCUUCCGAGUCUGGAGACCAAGGGCAUGGAGAAGGAGCUGUUGCUCUCAAAAAGGGGCUUUGACAAUCCUGCUCCUCCCAUAGGCGGUCAGAGAAAGGUGGGCCUGACUCUUCAGAAGGGCUUUGAGGAAACUCUCCUGAGGGAGGCACGAUGGCAGGGGCAGGGCCAGGCUGGAAGGAGGGUAGUGUCCUCCCAAGACCUCUCCAGGGCCCGCUGUUCAUCCAGGCAGGCACCCGUGGCCCUUCCCUCUGGCCCAAGGAGGUCCAUUUAUAAGAAGGAUGUGGGGACUGGGCCCUCCCUGGGGAAAGGAUGAAAUCUGGGAGAGAGAGAACACCGAGCAGCUGAGGUCAUGAAAAGCCCAGACCGCGUCCACCCAAAGUCCAGAGAUGCCUACAGAGGGCUACUUGGGAUCUUCAUCCUCCUGGGUAAGUGUGGAAGUGCUGCCUGGGGUGAAGUGGGGGUGCAGGACCUCAGAGACCCCCAGGGAGUCACCUGGAGUCACUGCAGCUUCCUAUCCCCGCACCCACCGGUGUCACCGGGUUGGCACAGGACUGUGGGGAAAGGCAGGCCCUUCGUGUUUUGAGAGAUUAUGCGAAAGCAGCCAGUAGUCAAGUUACAGAUGUGAGAGUUGGACCAUAAAGAAGGCUGAGCGCCGAAGAAUUGA
This 1203-nucleotide long non-coding RNA is filed under the name Capra hircus (goat). RNAcentral describes it as "lncRNA (ENSCHIG00010000587.1)". Lineage: Eukaryota; Metazoa; Chordata; Mammalia; Artiodactyla; Bovidae. The record is from RNAcentral.